GUUAGCGGCGGACGGGUGAGUAACACGUGGGUAACCUGCCCAUAAGACUGGGAUAACUCCGGGAAACCGGGGCUAAUACCGGAUAACAUUUUGAACCGCAUGGUUCGAAAUUGAAAGGCGGCUUCGGCUGUCACUUAUGGAUGGACCCGCGUCGCAUUAGCUAGUUGGUGAGGUAACGGCUCACCAAGGCAACGAUGCGUAGCCGACCUGAGAGGGUGAUCGGCCACACUGGGACUGAGACACGGCCCAGACUCCUACGGGAGGCAGCAGUAGGGAAUCUUCCGCAAUGGACGAAAGUCUGACGGAGCAACGCCGCGUGAGUGAUGAAGGCUUUCGGGUCGUAAAACUCUGUUGUUAGGGAAGAACAAGUGCUAGUUGAAUAAGCUGGCACCUUGACGGUACCUAACCAGAAAGCCACGGCUAACUACGUGCCAGCAGCCGCGGUAAUACGUAGGUGGCAAGCGUUAUCCGGAAUUAUUGGGCGUAAAGCGCGCGCAGGUGGUUUCUUAAGUCUGAUGUGAAAGCCCACGGCUCAACCGUGGAGGGUCAUUGGAAACUGGGAGACUUGAGUGCAGAAGAGGAAAGUGGAAUUCCAUGUGUAGCGGUGAAAUGCGUAGAGAUAUGGAGGAACACCAGUGGC
Molecule: ribosomal RNA, 640 nt
Filed under: Bacillus thuringiensis
Lineage: Bacteria; Bacillati; Bacillota; Bacilli; Caryophanales; Bacillaceae
Description: bacterial SSU rRNA
Rfam family: Bacterial small subunit ribosomal RNA
Source: RNAcentral